CCGGUCAAUGUCAUGGCCGCUGGUUACAACACCUUUUAUAAAUAAAUUCGCAAACAACUCAAAGAAUAGAACAGAAUAAAGGAAUUCCACAAUUCAUAACAAUGUGACUAUCUUAUCAUCGCCACUGUGACAGUCUUGUUUUCUAAUUAAAUAAAUAUUUAUUACGUCAGUGGUAAAACCGCGUCGGAGGUCCACCAACGAGAUGGACGGACGACUUAGUCAAGGCCGCGGGUUCACGGUGGAAGCAGGCCGCUUCCGAACCGCUUGGAAGACGACGAGGGAGGCCUAUGUCCAGCAGUGGACCUCACAUGGCUGAAGUAGUAGUAAUAGUAGUAUAUUUUAUUUUUAUUGACGCUUCCUUUAAACAAUAAAAUCGUUUCACUGUAGUAAAUUUA
Molecule: long non-coding RNA, 395 nt
Organism: Danaus plexippus (monarch butterfly)
Lineage: Eukaryota; Metazoa; Arthropoda; Insecta; Lepidoptera; Nymphalidae
Exons: 2
Source: RefSeq, a predicted model, not a curated record